Molecule: ribosomal RNA, 484 nt
Filed under: uncultured bacterium
Lineage: Bacteria
Description: bacterial SSU rRNA
Rfam family: Bacterial small subunit ribosomal RNA
Source: RNAcentral
GAUGAACGCUAGCGAUAGGCCUAACACAUGCAAGUCGAGGGGCAUCACAUGAAGUAGCAAUACGGAUGGUGGCGACCGGCGCACGGGUGAGUAACACGUAUGCAACCUGCCUUCAACAAGGGGAUAACCCGUUGAAAGACGGACUAAUACCCUAUAACACAGGGGUCCCGCAUGGGAAUAUUUGUUAAAGGACAACCGGUUGAAGAUGGGCAUGCGUUCCAUUAGCUAGUUGGCGGGGUAACGGCCCACCAAGGCAACGAUGGAUAGGGGAACUGAGAGGUUUAUCCCCCACCACUGGUACUGAGACACGGACCAGACUCCUACGGGAGGCAGCAGUGAGGAAUAUUGGUCAAUGGGCGAGAGCCUGAACCAGCCAAGUCGCGUGCAGGAAGAAUGUCCUAUGGAUUGUAAACUGCUUUUGCAGGGGAAUAAAGUGAGCCACGUGUGGUUUUUUGUAUGUACUCUGCGAAUAAGGAUCGGCUAA